Molecule: transfer RNA, 72 nt
Organism: Camelus ferus (Wild Bactrian camel)
Lineage: Eukaryota; Metazoa; Chordata; Mammalia; Artiodactyla; Camelidae
Rfam family: tRNA
About the family: Transfer RNA (tRNA) molecules are approximately 80 nucleotides in length. Their secondary structure includes four short double-helical elements and three loops (D, anti-codon, and T loops). Further hydrogen bonds mediate the characteristic L-shaped molecular structure. tRNAs have two regions of fundamental functional importance: the anti-codon, which is responsible for specific mRNA codon recognition, and the 3' end, to which the tRNAs corresponding amino acid is attached (by aminoacyl-tRNA synthetases). tRNAs cope with the degeneracy of the genetic code in two manners: having more than one tRNA (with a specific anti-codon) for a particular amino acid; and 'wobble' base-pairing, i.e. permitting non-standard base-pairing at the 3rd anti-codon position.
Source: Rfam
GAGGGUAUAGCUCAGUGGUACAGUGUAUGCUUAGCAUGCAUGAGGUCCUGGGUUCGAUCCCCAGUACCGCCA